This is a long non-coding RNA of Gasterosteus aculeatus aculeatus (three-spined stickleback), 549 nucleotides long. NCBI's taxonomy places the organism in Eukaryota, Metazoa, Chordata, Actinopteri, Perciformes, Gasterosteidae. The record is from Ensembl.
CAAUUAUUCAAAAUGCUCUCUUAAUCACCUUUCUUUAUGUGCAAUAUCGUUCCAGAGAGCCAACUACAGGAAGCAAAUGGCUUGUACACCAGAAGUUGCUGUCACCAUGGAUGGGAUUUUGAUCAAAAAGAGAAAAAGAAAAAGCCCCAUUGGCUGCUUCACCGGGACUAGAGCUCUACCAGACGUUGCCCGCAGUCAGUAGUUGACUCAAAUUCCCAACCGAAAGCAGAGGGGGGUUGAUCCUGUGGGACUGCUACACAGAUUCCACCUGUGCAGGCCAGUCAAGAUCAUGCCGCCCGAUCAGCCGAAUGGAGCCCCUAAUACAAGGCGCAAAACUGAGGCGGAAGAGGAAUAUUUGCCGGCGCAGUAUGAGUGAAGAAAUGUUUAAAGAAGCAUGUAAAGCCCUUUUGUUUUGGUUAUUAGAAAUCAAUAUCACAAAAUGAAACCUAUCGGUUUGACGUGACCAUUAUGUCACUCUCCCACGUGGUUUGAGAACCUUUGUUAGCAUUCACCUGAAUUUCAAAUAAAUUGUGUUAAUUGUACCUUCUA